GUGUUCCACGCUGUCGGUUCGCCGCCCGUCGGUGUUAACUGGCAUGUCCUGUGGAACGUCCUGCCGGUGGCGGUCCGGGCGUUCGGCUUGCGUAAAGGCUACGGUCCGAAGCGAGUCGAACAGUUCCGGCCGCCGGUCCAAUCCCGCCACGGUGCUCUUCACCGAGUGUCGAGGUGGGCCGGCACGUUUACUUUGAACAAAUUAGAGUGCUUAAAGCAGGCUGGUGUCCGCCUGAAUACUGUGUGCAUGGAAUAAUAGAAUAGGACCUCGGUUCUAUUUUGUUGGUUUUCGGAACCCGAGGUAAUGAUUAAUAGGGACAGGCGGGGGCAUUCGUAUUGCGACGUUAGAGGUGAAAUUCUUGGAUCGUCGCAAGACGAACCUAAGCGAAAGCAUUUGCCAAGUAUGUUCUCGUUAAUCAAGAACGAAAGUUAGAGGUUCGAAGGCGAUCAGAUACCGCCCUAGUUCUAACCAUAAACGAUGCCAGCCAGCGAUCCGCCGAAGUUCCUCCGAUGACUCGGCGGGCAGCUUCCGGGAAACCAAAGCUUUUGGGUUCCGGGGGAAGUAUGGUUGCAAAGCUGAAACUUAAAGGAAUUGACGGAAGGGCACCACCAGGAGUGGAGCCUGCGGCUUAAUUUGACUCAACACGGGAAACCUCACCAGGCCCGGACACCGGAAGGAUUGACAGAUUGAGAGCUCUUUCUUGAUUCGGUGGGUGGUGGUGCAUGGCCGUUCUUAGUUGGUGGAGCGAUUUGUCUGGUUAAUUCCGAUAACGAACGAGACUCUAGCCUGCUAACUAGGCGAUUUUCCGGUACCCACAAUUGUGUUACCGGCGAUUCAAUUUCUUCUUAGAGGGACAGGCGGCUCCUAGCCGCACGAGACUGAGCAAUAACAGGUCUGUGAUGCCCUUAGAUGUCCUGGGCCGCACGCGCGCUACACUGAAGGAAUCAGCGUGUCUUCCCUGGCCGACAGGCCCGGGUAACCCGUUGAACCUCCUUCGUGCUAGGGAUUGGGGCUUGCAAUUGUUCCCCAUGAACGAGGAAUUCCCAGUAAGCGCGAGUCAUAAGCUCGCGUUGAUUACGUCCCUGCCCUUUGUACACACCGCCCGUCGCUACUACCGAUUGAAUGAUUUAGUGAGGUCUUCGGACUGGUGCGCGGCGAUCGGUUCCGCCGGUCGCCGAUGUCUGCCGGAAAGAUGACCAAACUUGAUCAUUUAGAGGAAGUAAAAGU
Molecule: ribosomal RNA, 1227 nt
Filed under: Colsa orientalis
Lineage: Eukaryota; Metazoa; Arthropoda; Insecta; Hemiptera; Cercopidae
Description: SSU rRNA
Rfam family: Eukaryotic small subunit ribosomal RNA
Source: RNAcentral